CCAAGUAAAACACAAUUAUUCGCACUAGACCCGCGACGGAUCGUGCAGGGAAACGUCUCCGAAUUCCCAAGAAAAAACGAAAAGUACCUAAAUUCGCAAGUGAAGUGAGGUGCGCGAUAUUUGAUUACUCCAAUUUGAAAGGGAGCAACAUCGGCGAAAUUUAGUGGGAACAUUUUGUGUAACAGGGACGGAAAAGCGCGUGGUCUGUAGCGGAGAACAUUGGAAGCCUUUGAUUGGCACACCUAAGCACUGGCUUAAAGGGACACGGGAUCCAAGGUAUCGGCUAAUUCGUCGUCAAGAAAGCUUUGCGUGACACGGACGGUCGCCUCGAUUGUGAGACCCGGGCUGGAGGAAGUAGGUCACGAAGGAAAAUAUCGACGGGGCAAGGGACAACAUCGACGUCAGAAGGUCCUCAAACAGUGCCCGUGGUGACGAUCAGUGGUGAGCCGCCGCAGAGCGGCGAUCGAUACACACGCGAACCGAAUCCAGGUCACGAGACCACACGGCAUUAAACAGAAUUUUGAUUUCGGUGUUAUCAGCGAAAAGGAACCCCGUCGAAGGGUAAGUCCAUCGUGUUUAAGCUUACGGAUAGCAUUCCUAAAGGCACCAUCAUCUGCAGGGCUUCUUUGACAUAUCCUAACAUCGUGCCCGGAUACCAUAAGAAGAGCGGAGCGAAUCGCGACGACGGCCGGACCGCUUACUGGGACCGUUCUUAAAGUGCCUGCAGUGUGAAUCGGCGGCGAUCAGCUGUGCCUGCAGCGUUCAUCGGCGGCAACCCGCAGUGCCAGUAGGGUGAAUCGGUGCGCGACCAGCGGUGCCUACAGGGUAGAUCAACGUGUGAAUAGCGGCGCCCACGGUAGGAAUCGGCAUUGAAACGGCAAUUCUGGCCGGCUGGACGAGCAGUCGGUGGCUUUCACUCCAUUUGAACGGCGACACACGAUUAGCAGAUCGGUGGUCAGUCAACGCCACUGUUCCGUACGAAAAAAAAACUAGAUGAAACUUCUGCGAGCAGUGAAUUUGUCAACAACACGCUGAGCACUGAAAACGACCAAACCACCCAUCGCCACCCACCGAACGACUGCAACAUCAAAACAAAUUGCGAUGAUAGUUAGCAUCAGUCAUGUAUAUGACAGGAAACACUAUUGAUGGUGCUAACCAUCUGAAUGAACAUGGCCCGAAUGAAUGACAUUUACGUGAGUGAACGUGAGCUACUCUUCUCAGGCAGUGCAGCCAAAUCUUCUUGAAUAUUGCAGAUCUUUCUAUUUUUCGAACAUUCCAGAUAAUUCCAGCUCUUAAAAUUAAAGUAUAAAUAUCCUAGCUCGAUGCAUAACGAAUCAGUUAAUUUUCUACCGUCGCGAAUAUACCUCGUAGUGUGUAAAUUAAGUGAAUGUAAAAAUAAAGUAGUGAUUAAGUUAAAGUGAAA
Molecule: long non-coding RNA, 1423 nt
Organism: Armigeres subalbatus
Lineage: Eukaryota; Metazoa; Arthropoda; Insecta; Diptera; Culicidae
Exons: 4
Source: RefSeq, a predicted model, not a curated record